Scophthalmus maximus (turbot) is the source of this 739-nucleotide long non-coding RNA. RefSeq lists it as uncharacterized. NCBI's taxonomy places the organism in Eukaryota, Metazoa, Chordata, Actinopteri, Pleuronectiformes, Scophthalmidae. The transcript has 3 exons. The record is from RefSeq and is a predicted model, not a curated record.
CUGCAGCAGUUCAAAAGCUGCCAGCAGGUCUCCUCCGGGCUGGCUGCCGCAGUGGAGCGGGCUGUACCGCAGGGUCGGAGGUGCGUACGGUUCAGAGGACAACCGGACCUCAGGCACUGCCACUGUGGCUCCCAGAUACUCUGCCUUACCCUGCACAUGGUACCAGCGCAUCGUCGUCGUACACCUCGAUGAUGACGCGCGGCGGCUCCUGCUGGACGUACUGCAGAUCUCCGCUCACCAGCAGGAUGCCCAUCGGCAAACAGUGAUUCCACGUGGGGCUGAGAGUCUGACUGAUAAUCUGACAACAGCAAAGGGAAGGUGACGCGAGCGAAAGGAUCAGACAGGCCGGAGGUGUCGCCGGCGAUCAGGCCACGAGCCUGAUACAUGUGACACCUCAACUGGAACUUGUGCUGCUCUGGAGACACACAGACACCAAACACAGCUGAAGUCUGAGGCGAGUUUCAAGGAAACUUUUUUCUGAAACCAAAACGGCAAAAGGAACCAAAGAGACAGGGGAUCGAAGCCGUCAGUUCCCUCACCUGUGCAGAGCAGGUGAGUCUGAGGGCUGCCGCCAUCAGCGCCCCCUGUGGCCGGACUGAAACCGGCGGGCAGGUCAUCCAGCAUGUGACCGGAGUCCGAGCAGGUUCCCAACCACAGAUGCACGUCCACCUUCGCUUGGACUGAGAAGCCUGCAACACGCUUCCCUGGAGGCUGCGACACACACACACACACACACCAG